GAGCCGUUACAAAGACGCUCCAUAACCGUCGGUGUGCUGCUGCUGACGAUGACUCUGAUGCUGUAAACACUAACUAAACAUGGCGUUGGUUCGGCUGUGCGUGGCCCGCCAGUCCUUCCUCGGCAGGUCUUUUUUUAGACAUGCAGAGGCCCCUGGAGUGUUGUCAGUGGCAUACAAGCAGAGUGUGGCACAGCAGCUGGGCCUGCCAGAGCCUCCCAAGCGCCCCCUCGCACCUCACGUCCGCUUCAUUAAGGACCGGAUAGAGGACAUUACGAAACAGUAUCCAAAGCUGUCAAGUCAAGAGGUAUUUACCAAAACCCUGGACAACUGGAAAUCUCUCAAUUCUUUAGAGAAAAGUAAAUGGACUUCUGAAUUUAAUAGAGAAAAGGAACUUUAUAAUGCACUAUAUAAAGCUUAUGUUGAGAAGCUGAGCCCGUCUCAGCUGGAGAGCAUAAAGGCGCUGAAAAGGAAGCGUUCCGAGGACAAGGCAAAACGAAUGUCAAGACGAGAGAAGAAGAGAGAGAGUGAGGAUCUGGGUAAGCCCAAGUACCCAGGUAAUGCUUUCUUCCUCUACAUAUCCACACUGGAGCGGGGAGACUCAACUGGAAAGGAGUUUGUGAAAGCUGCAGCUGAAAAGUGGCACUCACUGCCAGAAAGAACACAGCAGAUAUACCGAGAAAAGGCUAAGAAGAUGCUGGAGGAAUACAAUGAGGAGCUGUGUCAGUGGGAGGCGAAAAUGGUGCAGAAAGGCAGGGUAGACCUUGUGCGGACAAACCAACUCGGAGGAGAGCUUCGGGAAGGGAUCCGAGGACGUAAGAAGCAGAAUUAGGGACUCGCCUCAGGUGGUGGUGAGAGGGAGGCUGACCCAUCCAGGCUGUCGAUGGAGAGGGAGGGGCAUGGUGUGUCAGUAGAACUGGGCCAGGCAAACUCUACUAAAGUUCAGGGAAAAAGAAAGAAAACUAAAGAUCUGUCAUCAUCGUCCUCUUCUCUCCACCUGGCACCCAUUUUAGGUCAGAAGAGAAGGCCAAAAAGACAAAAAAAGAAUGAUAAAAGACAGACUGGUAAAGCUACAACUCAAGUAGAUGAAGAUGGAUCUGGUGUUGAUAGAUAUUUAUUGCCUAGUAGAAGAAAAGUAAGGAACAAACGUGAAGUAACAAAUAAUUUGUCAUUUCACGUAGUUCCCACACUAUCACCUGAUGUAAUUUCACUGAGUAGUCUUUAUAGAGAUAUUUUUCAGCUCAAAGAGAUUAGAUACCUUAAUUUGUCUUGCUGGAUAAGAUCAAUGCAUGAUUAUAAAGGAUUUUGUACACUAUUAACGGAAUUGGAAGUUGAAAAGCUUGCAUCAGUGUAUCAUAAAAGACAGUUGGUCAGUUCACUUGUAAAAAUUUCACAAAGUACAUUGAAAGAAAGUAAUAGCAGUGCGAAAGGUGAAUAUAAUUUAUUGGACAAAGAAAAUGAAAAUGCAAGCCUAUUGGACACCAGUGUACUUGGUGGCCAGCUGUCUGUCAUUGCGGAUGUUCAUCGUGACGACUCACUGGACCCCGGUGUGUCAAGACAGUGUUCAGAGUCUGUCUCCACCUUGACUCACCUUCCACAGGACUCCUUCCUUAAUAAUGAAGCUGGAUGAUUGUGUCAUGUGCCUCUGUGAGCUUAGCCAUCAGCUAGCUUUGAGCUCAGCAGUGACCUGCAUGGUGGAGUCCCAUGUGUUGACUAUUGGACAGCAACAGCCAGCCUUCAGAAAGUGUCAAACUGUUGUGGUGCUGUUCUGUUCUCUCCAGCUACUGGGAGUUAUGAAAGGUGCGGUAAUAAAUCUGUCACUUCCAUAUCCUAAGUGAGAGAAGACUGGCACAUUUACCUCGUGAUGAAGCAAGUAGGCUGGUGCAGAGAUAAAUGUUGCUGUAUGCUUGAUAAAGGGAUCGUGUUGAAAGGUAUUGAUCCUCACGGGUGAACUCCAUUGCAUUGGUGCUUUGCUGACUGAUGCUUGACAAUAGAUUUUCUCAAAAUGAGUUUGUAGUAAUGUUUGUUUUUGUGCAACAAAAAAUUGAGAAAUCUGCAAGUCUAUAAGUAUUCCUAUUCUUAUUCUUAAGACACAUACUGGAUUGAUUACUUGUGAAAUAAUAUUCAGUAAUUACCUUUCCCAUCACAAUAUGGCGAUGAGUUUUAACUUUAUUGAUUGCUCAAUGAAUCUGAUCCUUUUGCCUCAAAAUUUCAUAUAAAAAAUUGUGUGUAUUCUGUUUUGUUCUUUAAGAUAUUGGUGGUAUAUUCUUGAACAUUCAUCUGAAUAAAUUACAAAUAUUUGGUACAUAUUCUCUUUUCAUUGAGUUUUAACUGGAGUAGUUAAAAUUUUCAUUAAUUCAGGCCUGAAGUCCUCCCCAUGAGUCACUUAUUUCAUUUCCUCUUUUGGUCUGAAAAGUCAUCAAGGCAAUUGCUCAUAUAACAUGCUGAAGCAUGUUUCAAACAUGUUAUUGGCUAUUGGUUUUUCAACUUUAUAUUUGAUAUCUAAGUAACUCAGUGACUUGUUUGUCAUCACUAAAUAACUAUUCUUAGAUAUUUACCUUCUCUCAUGACAAGUAGGGAGGUGGAAACAGAUCACUGCAUUGCACUAGGUCUGCUGCAGUGCUCAAGGUAUGGAGUUAUUUGCCAUCUUUUAGGACACUACUGAAAAAGAAAUCAUAUUAAAACUUUCCCCUAAUAUGAUUCGUGUUUACAAAAAACAAAACAAAACGAUAAUAUCGCUAAAAUUAGCUGAAAUAAUUAUCAACGUAUUACCUUCAUUUCAUUCUUGCAGUAUUAAAAAAAGAAAUGUUAAGAAGUCUUUGUUCAACACUUAUCAAAAUGUAACCAUUGAAUUAUGAAGCAGAUCAGUCGAUAAAAUUAAAUUAUAUUAAUGUUGUCUUGGUAUUUAAGAGAAGUAUGUCAAUGCAAAAAGAUCUUGGAAUUAAUAAAAGCACAGUGAAGCAAA
RNAcentral lists this unclassified non-coding RNA (2962 nucleotides) under Portunus trituberculatus (swimming crab). Its description in RNAcentral is "transcription factor A, mitochondrial-like, transcript variant X1". The record is from RNAcentral. Lineage: Eukaryota; Metazoa; Arthropoda; Malacostraca; Decapoda; Portunidae.